AAACGAGACAAUGUGUGCCAAAUUCUUAACAGACUCUAGCAUGUAAUAAGUGCUCUGUAGACAGGGCCACAGCUAGCAUGCAGGGUGUCUUUGUGGUAAUUGGGAAAAGGUAUGCUCAUUUGGGUAGACACAUUACAAAAAGAUGUACCUUCCUCUGGGCUGGUGCCUGGGCUCCUGUCUUGGGGAGCACAGUUCCUCCCUCACCUGGCCAUCCUUUGGCUGGUCACAACCCACAAAACUGAAGGUGGAGGCUCUGUCCAUACAUGUCUGCUAUGGUAAUUACACGUGAGGGUGGGGAGGAGACUCACAGUGCUGCGCCCUCCAACCCAGGAUUCUUCCCCUCCAGCAGUUCUUGCAGACAGACAACUGCACGAACUCUGAAGCUGUGGAGGCCCCGUCGGAGAAGGCAGCUGACUCUCGCUUCUCAGAACCACAGCGCUGGGCUCAGCAGACUCUCACCUUGAUAAACUUCUGUGAGAACAAAGGCAUGGGGACACACUGAAUUUUCCUUUUCUGAGCUUGAAACCAGCUGAUCAUGCUUCCUGUUUCUCUAAGGGCUUCCCUGACAUAGGUGACUUGCUUCUUUCAAAUUUGGUCAUCGCCCUCUUGCCUUCCUGUGUGAGUCAGCGUGGCUGCCCUCGUGCACGCCAGGCUUCUGUCUGCGCUCCAGGGCCUGUUUCCUGGCCUCCCCAGGUAAUUCCCCUCGGCCAAGGGUGAGUGUCCCCGCCCACGUCCCCUCUGCCUGGAGACGUGCUUGCUCUGGGGACAUGAGUCACAGCAGCUCACCCGUCCUCUGCAUCUGAAACUAUUAUUGGAAUGCCUCUGCACACAGCACACACCUGCUUCCCAGAUUUCACAGGCUCCUGCUCCGCGAUCUGCAAACCACAUUGCUCAGCCCGAGAUUCCAUGCGGGUGAUCACGGGGUGGUUUCCUCUAAGCUGGAACUUUUCUAAGAAAGUAGGUUUCUUUAAGCCAGGCAUUCUGCAUUCUUCAAAAAGCAUCAAGCACAGAGAGUGCCUAGCAAUGUGCCUGCCUUUAUGGGUAAUGCAAAAUAAAUCGUUCUGGAGCUCUGAGAAUGACACAGUAAAAAGAAGAGCAAAAAUGAGUGUCUCAAAUAAGAGAUGUGGCAGGACAGAUCCUUACGGGCCUGGAGAGUUAAACCCACAAAAAGAAAGAGAAGAAAGAUGCAGAAGAUCGGGAGGAGGACCAUGAGAGAGAACCAGCAGAGGCAAGCAGCUUGAACAAAGAUGCAGAGGAGAAUGUGUUGGACUUGUUUACAAGAACCUAAAUACUGAACCAAAUUUGAAUUUUGAAGAUCCUUCUCUUUUUUCAUGCUAGGAUGAUUAAUAGCCUUUAGUGUGAAUUUAUUGUGAGGUGAUAAAACUGCUAUGAAUGCUAAAAGGUAUACAAUUCUUGUCUUCCUUUUACAGAGAAGGAAACUGAGGCACAAAGAGGCGAAGUCCCGAGCUCACAGUCAUGCAACCAGCAGGUGGCGAAACACACCCCCAAGCUGCCUGCCUCCUAAGCAUCAAGCUUUGUGGCCUAGGGUACAGCCCAAAGCACAGCAUAUUCAUGAAGUCCAUGAACAUUCUGAAUCUUGACCCCAAAUGAGAUUCCCAAGAAUAGUUUCCAAACCCAAAGCAAUGACGCUGUCCAGGACAUGGAAGGAAGAAGAUUUUCGUACCUUUGAGCCUUUUAUCAUCUCAGAUCUCCAAGUGUUUCUGGGACUGUAGGACAUUAGGAGUAUUUUGUAACACAGUGGUUCUCUUGGAAGUGUAUGGGUGGGGGUUGCUUUUUACUAAAGCAAGUCUGUGGCUUGGUGAGGCUGCAUCAUUUGCAUCUGUCUCUGUGAAAAGAUAGUGGGCCAUGAUGCAGGAAGGACUUUGGGCCUCGACUGAGUCAACCAUUCAUUUAUAUUUCCUACGUGUCUACUAUGUAUGUUCUAGGCUCUGGGAAUGUGAACGAGAGAGACAAAAUUCCUGCUCUUACGAAAACCAUACAUUAUUUGUAUCUUCUGGAUUAUAAUGUCUAUCCAUGGAAACCAAGGGGAAAGUAGAUAAAAAUAAAUGCAUAAGUUGAAUUCAGAUAAUGAUAAAUGGGAUUUUUCUUAAAGCAGGGUGUUGUGAUAGAGAGCAAGUGGUGCUGGGAGGAGAGGUGGGCACUAUUUCAACUGGGUAGCAUGGAAGACCUCACUGGUAAAGAGGAGAUUGGAACUGAGAUGUAAACAUACAGAAGGAGCUAACCAUGUAGCUCUUUCCAAGCAUAGGGUUAGCAAGGAUAAGCUUGGUGUAUUUAAAAAACUGCAAAGAUGGCAUGAUUGAAGAUGCAGAGGGCAGGGCUGAAAGGGAGGAAGGAAGCCAGAGCUGGGCAGAAGUCAGAUCAUGUGGGUCCAUGUUGCCCUUAUAGACUUAGUAAGAAUCUGGAAAACUUCUUGGUAAUGUUUUUAAUUGGAGGGUUUUAAGCAGGGGAAUUAUAUAAUUUGAUUUACACCGAUAAGCAUCGUUUUUGAAAAAGGCACUUGCUUACAUCACAUAUAAUAAUUUUCUACUUAAUUCAGAGAACUGUAUGUUAUUCUAUGUUCUGGUGAGAAAUGGAUAAUGAAGACGAACAUGUCUCAAUUCCAGUAAAAAAUGUGAUGACAAGAUCCUAAGGGUAUAAUGUGAUUUUUAAAAUGACAUCGAACACCAGGGCUGCUUUUUUUUUAGAGAAGAUUCUAGGGAGGGAGGUUAUUUUGAGAUAAGAUGUUAUUGAGGAAACCCUCCAAAAUAAAAGGCCAAUGAGGAAGAGAAAAUCUUAGUGCAAGUAUAUACAUUUAGUUCUGAGUUUCAAAUCUUUAGGUCUGAUAGCUUUUUAAAUGUAACUGCCAUUAGUGACUGACACCUUGGUUCAAAGCCCGAGUACAUGAAAGCUUUGUUUACUUGAAUUAAAUUUCCAAUAUGCACAGCUAACUCAUAUCUGAUAAAAACUUAGAAUGUUCCUUGAAAUAUUCUGGAAUGGAGGACCACAUGGCCUAAGCACUAAUAAUGGCCACUCUGCCAUGGACUGAGUUUAAUAUCACAGUGCGGUCUGAGGACCUGUCUGUAUUUAUAUGUGUUCAGAGACUUCAGAAAUGGGCCCUUUGCUCUCAGCCUGCCCUGUUCCCCAUUAUUUUCUAGGGAAUGAAUACUCUAGUUUAAGAAUCCUGAGUGGGUGAUUAAUAUUAGUGACAGUAUAUGCAUCUAUCUAUGUCAUUCAUUAGACCUUGCCUUGCAGAUUCCUGAACUAUUCAUGACACGUUUGUGAAUUUUCUACUUGUACUAGUAUGCUGUUCUGUAGCGAAAUAGGCCUUCUCUGAAAAUAUAAAUAUUAGGAAUUAUGGGAAAUAAAAAUUUUUCUCUGUACAACUAUUAGAAUGGCCAAAACUCAAAACAUUACCAAUAUCAAACGUCGGUGAGGAUGGGAAGGAAGCAGGAGGCACUCUUGUUCAUUGCUGGUGGGGAUGCAAAAUGGCACAGCCACUUUGGAAGGCAGUUUGGCAGUUUCUUACAAAACUGAACAUACUCUUACCAUAUGGUCCAGCAUCAUGCUCCUUGGUAACUUAUGUCUACACAAAAACCUGCACAGGAAUAUUUAUAGCAGCUUUAUUCAUAAUUGCCAAAACUUGGAAGCAACUAAGGUGUCCUUCAGUAGGUGAAUGGAUAAAAAAAAAACUGUGGUUCAUCCAGACGCCGGAAUAUUAUUCAGCGCUAAAAAGUAAUGAGCUAUCAAGCCAUGAAAAGACAUGGAGGAAACUUAAAUGCAUAUUACUGAGUGAAAGAAGCCAAUCUGGAAAUCCUGCAUACUACAUAAUUCUAGCACCAUGACGUUCUGGAAAAGACAAAACUAUGGAGAUAGUAUAAAGAUCAGUGGUUGCCAGCGGUUGGGGGAAGGAUGAAUAGGCAGAUCACAGAGAAUGUUAUGGCAACGGAGCUAUUCUGUAUCUACUUUGAUACUAUAAUGGUGGAUACAUAUCAUUAUAUGUUUGUCUAAACCCAUAGAAUAUACAACACCAGGAGUGAAUCUUGAUGUAAACUAUGAACUUCGGGGGAUAAUGACAUGCCAAUGUGGGUUCAUCAGUUUUAACAAAUGUACUGCCCUGGCACAGAUGUUGGUAGUGGGAGAAGCCAUACAUGUGUGGAGAUAUGGCGUAUAUGGUAAAUAUCUGUUCCUUUCACUCAAUUUUCAGUGAACCAAAACUGCUCUAAAAAUCUGUUUUUAAAAAAUAAAUAAAUGAAAGCUAUAAUUUA
This is a long non-coding RNA of Macaca mulatta (Rhesus monkey), 4265 nucleotides long. RefSeq lists it as uncharacterized. The record is from RefSeq and is a predicted model, not a curated record. Lineage: Eukaryota; Metazoa; Chordata; Mammalia; Primates; Cercopithecidae.